CCCUUAGAUGUUCUGGGCCGCACGCGUGCUACACUGAACGGUUCAAUGGGUAAGGUAGUGCGAAAGCAUGACCUAAUCUCGAAAUCCGUUCGUGCUGGGGAUAGAAGCUUGCAAUUAUCCUUCUUGAACGAGGAAUACCUUGUAAGCGUGAGUCAUCAUCUCACGCUGAAUACGUCCCUGCCCUUUGUACACACCGCCCGUCGCUCCUACCGAUUGAGUGUUCCGGUGAGGCUUCGGGAGAACUGGGUGGAUUGUGUUUCACAAACUGCUCGGUUUGAACUUAGUCAAACCUUAUCACUUAGAGGAAGGAGAAGUCGUAACA
RNAcentral lists this ribosomal RNA (322 nucleotides) under uncultured eukaryote. RNAcentral's name for it is "partial 18S ribosomal RNA". It matches the Rfam family "Eukaryotic small subunit ribosomal RNA", at positions 1470 to 1796 of the family's 1831-position model. The record is from RNAcentral.